This 373-nucleotide unclassified non-coding RNA is filed under the name uncultured fungus. RNAcentral describes it as "partial contains small subunit ribosomal RNA, internal transcribed spacer 1, and 5.8S ribosomal RNA". The stretch from base 1 to 73 matches the Rfam family "Eukaryotic small subunit ribosomal RNA", at positions 1759 to 1831 of the family's 1831-position model. The record is from RNAcentral. Lineage: Eukaryota; Fungi.
GCAAACUUGGUCAUUUAGAGGAAGUAAAAGUCGUAACAAGGUUUCCGUAGGUGAACCUGCGGAAGGAUCAUUAUUGAAUAAUUUGCCUUGAUGGGUUGUAGCUGGCCUCUUGAGGCAUGUGCACGCCUAUCUUGACUCUAUUCAUCCACCUGUGCACUUAUUGUAGUCUUUACAUUUUCAGAAGAUCGAUUUGAGGAUUGCUUUGUUGCUCUCCUCUGUUGUAUGAUCUUUCUGGGAAUUGGGCUAUGUCUUUUAUCAUAAACCAUAUAGUAUGUUGCCAGAAUGUAAUUGAAAUGGGCUUUCAUGCCUAUAAAACCUUUAUACAACUUUCAGCAACGGAUCUCUUGGCUCUCGCAUCGAUGAAGAACGCAGC